Molecule: long non-coding RNA, 1422 nt
Filed under: Homo sapiens (human)
Lineage: Eukaryota; Metazoa; Chordata; Mammalia; Primates; Hominidae
Description: HSALNT0310102
Source: RNAcentral
CUGAGACUCAGGGUGGCAGAUGUCAAGUCCUUCAUUGUUCAGUUUAAGCUCAGAGAAAGUCGUUUGGGAAUUUAUGUCUCUGUGGUGUGGCACUGAACCAAUGGCUGAGAGGCAUAGGAGUAUAAACACUUCCGUUCCCUUGUGCCUGAUGAAGAUGGCUUCGAGCAAAGCAGUUGCUGCUACAGAUUGAAUGCAUCUGGGCCAUCCGUGGGUUACUGGCUUAAGGAUUUUUGAUAGGAAGACUACGGGUUGUCAGUGGCCUCCAUGCUUUUGGGUAAGUACUUCUAGGGCUACGCCCUUGUUUACAGUGGCAAAAAGAUGGAAAGGCUGCUUAAGGAGGGUAAAGCUAGGACGGGGGCAGUUACUAAUAGAUGUUUUAAUCUUCCCACCUAUUGGAUUUCUGGUAAUUGCCCAAUGAGGCGGUUUAGCCCGUCUUUCAUGAGCUUUUUGUAUAAGCGUUUUGUUUUUAAGGCAUAAGAGUCUAUCCAUAGAUGACAGUAACUGACUCAUUCUAACAUUUUCUAAGUUCUUGUUUAGUCUCCGGCAGAGGCAAGGAUAUGAUGCCUUCAAUCCAUUCAAACUCAGUUUUCCAUUUGCCUUUGUUAAUUAAAUGACUUGUUCAAAUAUUUGACUAAAUAAAUUUGGAGACUCCAUAAACCCUUGGGAUAAGACUGUCUAUCAGUAUUGCUAUUUUUGACCAGAGUGAGGGUCUUCUCACUGAAAGGCAAAUAGGUCCCGGCUGUCCUCUGCUAAUGGACAAGCCCAGAAGGCAUCUUUUAAAUUUAUUACUGUAAACCAGUGGUGACAGCUUGGGAUCCUACUGAUAAUAGUAUAAGGAUUGGGAACAACAGGGUGUGUAGUUUGGAUUAUUUGAUUAAUAGCUGUAAGGUCUUGUACUGACCAGUAUGACCCAUCUGGCUUCUUUACAGGCAGUAUUGGAGUGUUAUAGGGAGACAUACAGGGUUUCAGAAGCCCAUCACAGAGAAGACCUUCAAUUAUCAAUUAUAUGUUUUAAAUUUACCCUGGCUUUUAAAGGAAUAGGGUACACUGCUUUCGCUUUACUACUUCCCCAGGGGUUUUUAAUUUAACAUGAAUCAGAGGAAUCUGUAACUUUCCUUGAUUCCCAUCUAUUGACCAUACCUUGGGAUAAAUGUGUUCUUCGUCUGCGGUGGUGAGCAAGUUUAGGGAGGGGAGGAAUUUUCCAUGAUUGAUUUGUAGGCCUAAGCCUAAUUCUAGCAUUAAAUCUCUUCCUAAAAGAUUUUUCUCUGCUUCCAGAAUUAACAGGCAUCUAAUAUUAGCUGAUUUGCUUUUAUAUAUGACUUUUGUUCUUUUUCCCAUUUGGGACAUUCUCUUUUGAAGUGACCUAUUUUUAAUUUGAAACAUUUGUUUUGUCUUCUUUCUCUCCCUUUGCUCCUCCCUCUC